Erpetoichthys calabaricus (reedfish) is the source of this 542-nucleotide long non-coding RNA. RefSeq lists it as uncharacterized. The transcript has 3 exons. Lineage: Eukaryota; Metazoa; Chordata; Cladistia; Polypteriformes; Polypteridae. The record is from RefSeq and is a predicted model, not a curated record.
UUUUUUUCAGCCAAGAAGAUUGUUACAGUGAAAUUCCCAGAGAUGCUUUUCCAUCUAAUCAAAAACGUAAUAAGAAGCAGACCUUUCUCCAGAAGACCCCUCAAGAAAAUACAUCAGAUCUGCAAUAUGUCCAGUUGAAUGUGAAGAAAAAUGCACACAGAAAGCCACAGACACCUGAGGAAAAAGUGUAUUAUUCAUCAGUUAAUACCCGAGCUUUGAAUCAUCAAAUUUAAGUUGUCUAAACUGUUUUUCAUUAUUAGCAGACUCAUGUGGUCAUUAUUUUCAAAUCUUACCAAAUCUGCCAUAGAAUGCUCUUUAUGUCAGCACUGACCUCUUAUCUCUAUAUCAUUCAUUUUACAUUUUUGAGCACUGAUUGGAUGGUAGUUUCAUUUGCUUUUGAGACCAACAUUAUUUUAGUACUUAAAAAUAAGGUAUUUCCUAAAAUUUGGAUUAACGUUAUCAUUGGCAAAAUGGCUGUUAAAAAUCACACUUUUGUUAAAUACUUUCCAGUAAGCACAUACCUCAAAUAUCAGAGUAGGUAA